This 492-nucleotide ribosomal RNA is filed under the name uncultured bacterium. Its description in RNAcentral is "partial 16S ribosomal RNA". It matches the Rfam family "Bacterial small subunit ribosomal RNA", at positions 29 to 507 of the family's 1533-position model. The record is from RNAcentral.
AGUGAACGCUGGCGGUAGGCCUAACACAUGCAGGUCGAACGGCAGCACAGUAAGAGCUUGCUCUUACGGGUGGCGAGUGGCGGACGGGUGAGGAAUACAUCGGAAUCUACUUUUUCGUGGGGGAUAACGUAGGGAAACUUACGCUAAUACCGCAUACGACCUACGGGUGAAAGCAGGGGAUCUUCGGACCUUGCGCGAUUGAAUGAGCCGAUGUCGGAUUAGCUAGUUGGCGGGGUAAAGGCCCACCAAGGCGACGAUCCGUAGCUGGUCUGAGAGGAUGAUCAGCCGCACUGGAACUGAGACACGGUCCAGACUCCUACGGGAGGCAGCAGUGGGGAAUAUUGGACAAUGGGCGCAAGCCUGAUCCAGCCAUACCGCGUGGGUGAAGAAGGCCUUCGGGUUGUAAAGCCCUUUUGUUGGGAAAGAAAAGCAGCAGGUUAAUACCCCGCUGUUCUGACGGUACCCAAAGAAUAAGCACCGGCUAACUUCGUG